CGUGCAUAUCAAACCGAAAGAGCAUCGGGAGCGCCCCUUUCUCAUUCAGCUUCCAUGGCUCAAAUAAACACCAAAGUAACUCAAGACUAUCUGACAUCCUUGGAAAGCAAUAGUAAUGAUUCAUCAGAGCUUGAAACACACAAUUCGUCUGAGAAACCAGGGAAGAACAACAUUCCCAAACUUGUAGUUGUUGGUGGGGCUAUCGCGGUUGCAUGUAUUCUAGAUCGAGGGCUCUUAACCAAAGCUGUUAUAUUCGGAGUAGCUCGAAGGUUUGCAAAAAUCGGAAGAAGGUUGUAAUCCUGAAUAUUUUUGUGGGUCAAUCGAAGGAAACCGCACCCACCAGCAAAGCAGAUUGCCAUUGCAAUGAAGUGAGAUGUUGGGGAUGGAUGAAUCUUCUCACUUAGCCGCGUUUAAAAGGUUGGAAGAUGGAAAGAUUAUAUUAGUUUUUGCAAUAUUUGGG
This 460-nucleotide long non-coding RNA is filed under the name Gossypium barbadense (sea-island cotton). RNAcentral's name for it is "long non-coding RNA (GBAR_LNC019524)". The record is from RNAcentral. Lineage: Eukaryota; Viridiplantae; Streptophyta; Magnoliopsida; Malvales; Malvaceae.